RNAcentral lists this ribosomal RNA (393 nucleotides) under uncultured bacterium. Its description in RNAcentral is "partial 16S ribosomal RNA". It matches the Rfam family "Bacterial small subunit ribosomal RNA", at positions 523 to 918 of the family's 1533-position model. The record is from RNAcentral.
CUACGGAGGAUCCGAGCGUUAUCCGGAUUUAUUGGGUUUAAAGGGUGCGCAGGCGGGAGAUUAAGUCGGCGGUGAAAUUUUGCAGCUCAACUGUAAAAGUGCCUUCGAAACUGGUUUCCUUGAGUGUAGAUGAAGUAGGCGGAAUUUGUGGUGUAGCGGUGAAAUGCAUAGAUAUCACGAGGAACUCCGAUUGCGCAGGCAGCUUACUAAACUACUACUGACGCUCAGGCACGAAGGCGUGGGGAUCAAACAGGAUUAGAUACCCUGGUAGUCCACGCAGUAAACGAUGAUUACUAGCUGUUUGCGAUACAAUGUAAGCGGCUGAGCGAAAGCGUUAAGUAAUCCACCUGGGGAGUACGUUCGCAAGAAUGAAACUCAAAGGAAUUGACGGGG